This 946-nucleotide ribosomal RNA is filed under the name uncultured Aeromicrobium sp. Its description in RNAcentral is "bacterial SSU rRNA". It matches the Rfam family "Bacterial small subunit ribosomal RNA", at positions 14 to 977 of the family's 1533-position model. The record is from RNAcentral. Lineage: Bacteria; Bacillati; Actinomycetota; Actinomycetes; Propionibacteriales; Nocardioidaceae.
UGAUCAUGGCUCAGGACGAACGCUGGCGGCGUGCUUAACACAUGCAAGUCGAGCGGUAAGGCUCCUUCGGGAGUACACGAGCGGCGAACGGGUGAGUAACACGUGAGUAACCUGCCCCUUUCAUCGGAAUAACCAGUGGAAACGCUGGCUAAUGCCGAAUACGACCACCGAAGGCAUCUUCUGGUGGUGGAAAGCUCCGGCGGAGAGGGAUGGACUCGCGGCCUAUCAGCUUGUUGGUGAGGUAACGGCUCACCAAGGCAACGACGGGUAGCCGGCCUGAGAGGGUGACCGGCCACACUGGGACUGAGACACGGCCCAGACUCCUACGGGAGGCAGCAGUGGGGAAUAUUGGACAAUGGGCGAAAGCCUGAUCCAGCAACGCCGCGUGAGGGAUGACGGCCUUCGGGUUGUAAACCUCUUUCAGUAGGGACGAAGCGAAAGUGACGGUACCUACAGAAGAAGGACCGGCCAACUACGUGCCAGCAGCCGCGGUAAUACGUAGGGUCCGAGCGUUGUCCGGAAUUAUUGGGCGUAAAGGGCUCGUAGGCGGUUUGUCGCGUCGGGAGUGAAAACUCAGGGCUUAACCCUGAGCGUGCUUCCGAUACGGGCAGACUAGAGGUAUGCAGGGGAGAACGGAAUUCCUGGUGUAGCGGUGGAAUGCGCAGAUAUCAGGAGGAACACCGGUGGCGAAGGCGGUUCUCUGGGCAUUACCUGACGCUGAGGAGCGAAAGCAUGGGGAGCGAACAGGAUUAGAUACCCUGGUAGUCCAUGCCGUAAACGGUGGGCGCUAGGUGUGGGGACCUUCCACGGUCUCCGUGCCGCAGCUAACGCAUUAAGCGCCCCGCCUGGGGAGUACGGCCGCAAGGCUAAACUCAAAGGAAUUGACGGGGCCCGCACAGCGGCGGAGCAUGCUGAUUAAUUCGAUGCACGCGAAGAACCUUACCUG